GUGGGGAAUAUUGCACAAUGGGGGAAACCCUGAUGCAGCGACGCCGCGUGAGUGAAGAAGUGUUUCGGCACGUAAAGCUCUAUCAGCAGGGAAGAAAAUGACGGUACCUGACUAAGAAGCCCCGGCUAACUACGUGCCAGCAGCCGCGGUAAUACGUAGGGGGCAAGCGUUAUCCGGAUUUACUGGGUGUAAAGGGAGCGUAGACGGCUGUGCAAGUCUGAAGUGAAAGCCCGGGGCUUAACCCCGGGACUGCUUUGGAAACUGUAUAGCUUGAGUGCAGGAGAGGUAAGCGGAAUUCCUAGUGUAGCGGUGAAAUGCGUAGAUAUUAGGAGGAACACCAGUGGCGAAGGCGGCUUACUGGACUGCAACUGACGUUGAGGCUCGAAAGCGUGGGGAGCAAACAGGAUUAGAAACCCUAGUAGUCC
RNAcentral lists this ribosomal RNA (425 nucleotides) under uncultured bacterium. Its description in RNAcentral is "bacterial SSU rRNA". It matches the Rfam family "Bacterial small subunit ribosomal RNA", at positions 354 to 796 of the family's 1533-position model. The record is from RNAcentral.